Molecule: long non-coding RNA, 2269 nt
Organism: Alligator sinensis (Chinese alligator)
Lineage: Eukaryota; Metazoa; Chordata; Crocodylia; Alligatoridae
Exons: 4
Source: RefSeq, a predicted model, not a curated record
GAGUGGCUCAGGUUUCAGCUCGACAGGCAAGAGAUACACUCUUAAAUUGGGCUCUCACUCAGUGCUGCUGGCGAUGGCAAGUGGAGACUGAUGCACAGUUUUAAUUGGGGGGAGACAUUUCCUGAAGAGAUUUUGGGGAAUUAGGUGGCUUAUGGGCUACCUGGUCAGUGGGCCCACUGCACAGCAAAUUCCUGGGUGAGCUCUUCUUCUCCACCUCCCGCCUCUUUACAUAGAACAGAAGGGACAGAACAGAGAAAAGGGGCUCGAAAAGCCACCGUUUGAGCGAGCAACACUCUGGGAGCAAAUUUACCAGUAGCCAGCCUCCAAGUCUCCCGAGUAGGCUGUUUCUGGAGCUGCUGGAGGCAUGUGGUUCAAGCAGCAUUCGAGAAGCAGAGCAAGAGGGAGAAGCAGCUCUGAAAUGACCUGAUGUUCAAAGACAGGUGCAGAAUAUCUCACAUCCUGAUGUGGAAACUCUGAAAUAAGGAACCAGGGAAUGCUGGAGACGGCCAAGAUCUGUGAGAGAUGAUGAGCCCAACAGAUGCCAAACUGACCUGCACCUAAAAAGAAAAUCUGCUCUUCAUAUGGUCCAUGCGAUUGAUCCUACCUAUUGCCUUCAGUGGGAGUUUUACCACUGUCUUCAAGAGAUAUAGGAAUGGCCUCAUGGCCACCAGUACCCAGCUUGUUCUUCCCUUUAAAUUCCUUGUCUUUGUGUUCUUCUGCCAUAGAAAGGAGACUAAAAGAAUACAAGAGCCACUAAUUGCACUGCUACCCCUCUGUUAUUACUUUUAUCUGUGGACUAGGUAAUUAGCAAUUAGGCUUUUAAUUUUGUUUCCUAGGAGCACAAGAGCUGUAAUUAGGCAGCUCAGAAACGUAAGAGCUUUGGAGGUGCAUUUUGUGUCUGUUUUGUUUAAACCUUUGUUGGGAGGGUGGCAUAUAAAUUGCACAGAUAAAUAUAUACAUACAUGCACACACAAAUAAAUAAAUAAAUACAUUCCUGGUCCUACUUGCCCUUUGCAGGGAGCCUGAGGGCUACAAAUAUCCCACAUGAAAAUUAGACUGAGGAUCAGAUUUUGAACACCCUUAACCAAUUCUUUUUAAAUCCAGAAGUACUGGACUUGAUCUAGCACUCUGAAGCAGUCGGCACUCCUGGGGCCAUCAGUCACUUAAGGACCCGUGAAAGAAUUUCUAUGGUCAUUUAUAGUGGAUCAUGACUGCACUGGUUUUAAUCUCUUUAUUUCCAUUGUGCUGGUGCUGGUUAAUCUGGCAACACCAGGCCAUGCACUGAAACUGAUAGGUGGACAUGCCCACCAUAGUUUUGGAUCAGCAGGUAGCACGUAUAGGACAGGGCAUAUAUAAGCAGCUACUGUACAAGACAGGGGUGCUCAACCCCAACCCACAAGCCAUGUCAUGUAACUGGCCCCCAUGGGUCUGAUAAUGUGGUGCUGAGGGAGUGGUGGCAGUGUUAAUUGCUACUCCCCUGCUGCCAGAUUUCCAGACUCAUGGGGAGCCUAGCAAGGCAGAUAGUGUGGCCCUGAACACUAGAUAGGGCACAUGGGGCCUGGUCAGGGCAGCACAGGGCCUGAUCUGGGUGUAUGGGGCCCAACACUGUGAGGGAUCUGGCCUGUGGACCAGCCCUGCCCCAAUCAUCUGGCCCAUGGGACUAAAAGGUUGAGCACCACUGGUAUAAGAUAUGCAAUCUGUGGAAUCACACGGGGAAAACUGUUUUGCUCUUACUUGCUAGGCGAAAGAAAAACCUUUUUGACUCGUAUAUUGACCCUGCUGCCUGGAAAUAUCUUGGCCUCUGAUAAUAACCAAGGCACCCAACAGCAAGGUGAAUCUCUGGGUGUAAUAGGAUUCUAUGAACAAUCAAGUCAAUUCUCAUGUCAGGCUGGUAACAGAUGUGCCCAACCAACUGGGGGAAUAAGCUUCAUGCUAAAUUGUCAGGCAACUGUUAUGGAUGACUCAUGAAGCAAGGAGAAUGGGGUUGAGGGCAGCUGUGUCCAGGCCAUGUCCAGGGCCAGGAGCAAUCAACACCAUGGUGAAGAAAGGCCAUGGGCCAUGUGAUCUCAAGAAAAGUGGUGCCUCUGCAAAAAGAGACUUUCCUCUUUAAUUAGCUGGGAAAACAACAAAAGAAUAAGAGAAAGCAAUCUGUAGCUGAUACAACACUGCCAGGAACUAUCUUGGUGAUUUAUAGGAAGGGAAUAGUGCAAUACAAAAAGCUGCCAGCCAACAGACAGGCAUGUUUUUUGCUGACUGGAGAAAACAAAUA